CCCCUUCGGGGGUACACGAGUGGCGAACGGGUGAGUAACACGUGGGUGAUCUGCCCUGCACUCUGGGAUAAGCCUGGGAAACUGGGUCUAAUACCGGAUAUGACCUCCUGUCGCAUGGCGGGGGUUGGAAAGGUUUACUGGUGCAGGAUGGGCCCGCGGCCUAUCAGCUUGUUGGUGGGGUAAUGGCCUACCAAGGCGACGACGGGUAGCCGGCCUGAGAGGGCGACCGGCCACACUGGGACUGAGACACGGCCCAAACUCCUACGGGAGGCAGCAGGGGGGAAUAUUGCACAAUGGGCGAAAGCCUGAUGCAGCGACCCCGCGUGAGGGAUGACGGCCUUCGGGUUGUAAACCUCUUUCAGCAGGGACAAAGCGAGAGUGACGGUACCUGCAAAAAAAGCACCGGCCAACUACGUGCCAGCAGCCGCGGUAAUACGUAGGGUGCGAGCGUUGUCCGGAAUUACUGGGCGUAAAGAGCUCGUAGGCGGUUUGUCGCGUCGUCCGUGAAAACUUGGGGCUCAACCCCAAGCUUGCGGGCGAUACGGGCAGACUUGAGUACUGCAGGGGAGACUGGAAUUCCUGGUGUAGCGGUGAAAUGCGCAGAUAUCAGGAGGAACACCGGUGGCGAAGGCGGGUCUCUGGGCAGUAACUGACGCUGAGGAGCGAAAGCGUGGGUAGCGAACAGGAUUAGAUACCCUGGUAGUCCACGCCGUAAACGGUGGGCGCUAGGUGUGGGUUUCCUUCCACGGGAUCCGUGCCGUAGCUAACGCAUUAAGCGCCCCGCCUGGGGAGUACGGCCGCAAGGCUAAAACUCAAAGGAAUUGACGGGGGCCCGCACAAGCGGCGGAGCAUGUGGAUUAAUUCGAUGCAACGCGAAGAACCUUACCUGGGUUUGACAUAUACCGGAAAGCCGUAGAGAUACGGCCCCCCUUGUGGUCGGUAUACAGGUGGUGCAUGGCUGUCGUCAGCUCGUGUCGUGAGAUGUUGGGUUAAGUCCCGCAACGAGCGCAACCCUUGUCCUGUGUUGCCAGCGCGUAAUGGCGGGGACUCGCAGGAGACUGCCGGGGUCAACUCGGAGGAAGGUGGGGACGACGUCAAGUCAUCAUGCCCCUUAUGUCCAGGGCUUCACACAUGCUACAAUGGCCGGUACAGAGGGCUGCGAUACCGUGAGGUGGAGCGAAUCCCUUAAAGCCGGUCUCAGUUCGGAUCGGGGUCUGCAACUCGACCCCGUGAAGUCGGAGUCGCUAGUAAUCGCAGAUCAGCAACGCUGCGGUGAAUACGUUCCCGGGCCUUGUACACACCGCCCGUCACGUCAUGAAAGUCGGUAACACCCGAAGCCGGUGGCCUAACCCUUGUGGAGGGAGCCGUCGAA
This 1372-nucleotide ribosomal RNA is filed under the name Rhodococcus (subgen. Prescottella) equi. RNAcentral describes it as "Prescottella equi bacterial SSU rRNA". It matches the Rfam family "Bacterial small subunit ribosomal RNA". The record is from RNAcentral. Lineage: Bacteria; Bacillati; Actinomycetota; Actinomycetes; Mycobacteriales; Nocardiaceae.